UUUGUCGAACCGGUAUAUUCUUUAUAGCUUGCUAUGAGAAUAAUUAGUGGCAGACGGGUGAGUAAUGCAUAGGAAUCUACCUAGUAGUAUAGGAUAGCCACUAGAAAUGGUGGGUAAUACUGUAUAAUCCCUGCGGGGGAAAGAUUUAUCGCUACAUGAUGAGCCUAUGUUAGAUUAGCUAGUUGGUGGGGUAAUGGCCUACCAAGGCAGUGAUCUAUAGCUGGUCUGAGAGGAUGAUCAGCCACACUGGAACUGAGACACGGUCCAGACUCCUACGGGAGGCAGCAGUGGGGAAUAUUGGACAAUGGGCGCAAGCCUGAUCCAGCUAUGCCGCGUGAGUGAGGAAGGCCUUAGGGUUGUAAAACUCUUUCAGUAGGGAAGAUAAUGCGGUAU
RNAcentral lists this ribosomal RNA (393 nucleotides) under uncultured Anaplasma sp. RNAcentral describes it as "bacterial SSU rRNA". It matches the Rfam family "Bacterial small subunit ribosomal RNA", at positions 58 to 459 of the family's 1533-position model. Lineage: Bacteria; Pseudomonadati; Pseudomonadota; Alphaproteobacteria; Rickettsiales; Anaplasmataceae. The record is from RNAcentral.